This 253-nucleotide ribosomal RNA is filed under the name uncultured bacterium. Its description in RNAcentral is "partial 16S ribosomal RNA". It matches the Rfam family "Bacterial small subunit ribosomal RNA", at positions 524 to 776 of the family's 1533-position model. The record is from RNAcentral.
UACGUAGGGGGCUAGCGUUGUUCGGAUUUAUUGGGUGUAAAGCGCGUGUAGGCGGCUUGUUAAGUCGGGUGUGAAAUCCCUCAGCUCAACUGAGGAAGUGCGCCCGAAACUGGCGAGCUUGAGUGCCGGAGAGGAUGGCGGAAUACCCCAAGUAGAGGUGAAAUUCGUAGAUAUGGGGUGGAACACCGGUGGCGAAGGCGGCCAUCUGGACGGUAACUGACGCUGAGACGCGAAAGCGUGGGUAGCAAACAGG